RNAcentral lists this ribosomal RNA (253 nucleotides) under uncultured bacterium. RNAcentral's name for it is "partial 16S ribosomal RNA". It matches the Rfam family "Bacterial small subunit ribosomal RNA", at positions 524 to 776 of the family's 1533-position model. The record is from RNAcentral.
UACGUAGGUGGCGAGCGUUAUCCGGAUUUAUUGGGUUUAAAGGGAGCGUAGGCGGCUAAUUAAGUCAGUGGUUAAGGUAGCAGCUUAACUGUUUUACAUGCCAUUGAUACUGGUUAGCUUGAGUUGACGGAAGGCAGAUAGAAUUUCUGGUGUAGCGGUGAAAUGCUUAGAUACCAGAAGGAAUACCGAUUGCGAAGGCAGUCUGCUGCAGUCACACUGACGCUGAGGCUCGAAGGUGCGGGGAUCAAACAGG